GGAUUGUGGCUCAGUGGUAGAGUGUCCUUCUCUCCUGUGUGAGGCACUGGGUUCGAUCCUCAGCACCA
This 68-nucleotide transfer RNA is filed under the name Marmota monax (woodchuck). RNAcentral's name for it is "tRNA.Glu". The record is from RNAcentral. Lineage: Eukaryota; Metazoa; Chordata; Mammalia; Rodentia; Sciuridae.